Long non-coding RNA from Astatotilapia calliptera (eastern happy), 1623 nucleotides. NCBI's taxonomy places the organism in Eukaryota, Metazoa, Chordata, Actinopteri, Cichliformes, Cichlidae. The record is from Ensembl.
GAACAGAACGCCCUUUUAUUCGGCGUUUUGAAUAAUUAAACGGCGUUUUUUACGCCAUUUCUUAACCAAACGGGUUAGAAAAGUGGCGAUUUUUGGCACUAAUGGCUUGCCAUACUAAUGGCUUGCCAUAUCGCGAAAACGCCAAAACGCGUGAAACGCGUGUCAGUGUAGCGCGUUUGAUUCGCGAAAAAAAACCACGCGCGUGAGUUUUUGUGUUGCAUUUUGUGCAUACACGCGUUUCGCGUCUACCGCUCAGUUGGAAAAAUCUGAACUCCAGUGUCAAAUCGCACCCCGACAACCAAUCAGGAGCCUGGUGACGUGCUCUGACCUAGGUCAAAGGGGCAGAUCCAGCCAAAGCCCUUCAUUCUUCAAUGGAGGGAAGGCUAAUCAACGCAGUAGCAAACCACCCGGAGCUGUACGACACCAGCUGCUUUCUGUACCGAGACAGGAAUAUAAAGGACCGAGCUUGGAGGAAGAUAUGUGAAGAGACGGGCAACCUGGUAAGUUCAUUCAUUUCUCUUUUGAAAGUUUUCACUGACCCGGGGAAGCCGCACAAAAGUUAGCAAGCCACCGCUAUUUUCCCACUGACGUACAAAUACCGUUCUGCUUUUAUGCAUGUUGUCAUUUAGGAAUAUAUUUUGUUUAUUAAUAAACAGCACACAGUGGUCCCGCUGUUCAUCCGUCACUGCUUCGCUUUUUCGCUGAUUUUCUUUUUCAUUUUCUUUUUGUUGCACAGUACAGCAUUGCAAUCUGCAGCCUGAUUGACAAAUCUCCUCCGUGUCGUGUCUCCUGCGCUUGCCAAAUUUAUCACGUUUGGUUUUGAUAACCAUCACGUCCGAUAGAAAAAACAGCACAAAAACACCCAUAACUAUGAGCCUCAUUCGGAAAUAGACACCUGCACCGCGAGGGAAAAAGGCGCACGAAAGUGGCGGGCAGAUGAAGACAAACCGCGGCAUAAUAAUACUUUUACGUUUUGCAAUCUACAAAGGUUUGCACUUUGAGAAUCAAUUGUGAGAACUGUGACCAAUGUUCAUGUGUGUGUGUGGAAAAAAGUGUAUAAAGUGCGUGGCCAGGGGCUAGUUAUUCUGAGAACCCCUGCUGCAAUAAAUGAGGGACCACUGUCUACUCUAUGAUUAUUAUAUUCAACCUGUUAACAUUUAAUACUGUAUUGAUAGAACCAACUGAUUCUGCAGCAGAGCAUCCCCAGUCCCUGAGCUGCUGCUGCUGCACCACAGGCCCACAAAGGAGGACGGCUCCAAGGCAGAUGAGGGACGUUGUUCCAGAUCUACUGGCGUUUAGAUCAACUGGCGUUGGUCGAACAGAUGUGUGGCAAACGGCAGUUGAUCUAAACGCCAGUAGAUCUAAACGCCAGUAGAUCUAAACGCCAGUAGAUCUGGAACAACGGUCCCAGGACGGUCCAUCGGCGGUGGAGCUGGCCAUCCUGGAGUCCCUGAAGAGGCCACACCAGUCUCCAAUGGAGCAUUUCCUCCUCAGCCUUGUUCCUGCUCUUGAGAGCAGCUGGUCCUUUUUAUUCCUGUCUCUCUGUAAAUUCUUAUAUUUUAUGUUUAAUGUUUUUCUGUGUGAGAAUUUUAAUAUUAUUUCAAAUAAAUUUUUAUAAUGACU